This 1040-nucleotide long non-coding RNA is filed under the name Homo sapiens (human). RNAcentral describes it as "AFDN divergent transcript". Lineage: Eukaryota; Metazoa; Chordata; Mammalia; Primates; Hominidae. The record is from RNAcentral.
CCGACGUUUGGGAACCGUGCACGCCGACUGAAAGCAAAGCUCAGCUGACCUGCGAGGAGUCCCCGGGGAGCUGCCGCGGUGGUCGCCGUUGAGUCCGUCCGUGCCGCUGGGGCCGAGGCAGCUGGAGGGAGAAGUGAAAAAAAUUAAUGAGAAAGAAGGCUUGAGUUACAAAAUCAGAAAUUUCAUCAGCUAGUCUACCUCUCUGCCGCCUUCUUCUCUGCCUGGGGUCUCUGCCAGAGUGGGCAGCACAGGAAGCUGCUGGACUCUAGGUGCCUUGCCGCCCUCAGAAACUCCACAUUUCACAAAAUGGUCAGAUGCCAAUGCAAAUUAAUGACAUGUGGUCAACGGGCUGAUGGGCACGGCUGUGGGACCCCAUCAUUCCCCUGCCCCGCAUGACUCUGCUCUCCCAGCUCGACUGCUCACUUCAGACUUCCCUUAUGGAAGGAGUUGCCAGAUAGAGCAAGUAAAAUACAGUGUGCCAGACACAGGUUUAUUUCAACACUGGGAAGGCUCCAUUCCUACUUAAACCCAGCAGGGAACAGGGAGCGGUGUGCAGAGGAGGUGGCCUGCCCGGGAAGCCGGCCUUGGUGCUGGGACUGCAGGGAGAGGGCUGUGAGGAAGAGCACAGGCUUCAUGCACAUUGCACAGAGGAGGAGAUUCAUGGGGACAGCAGGCACUGGUUAGGCACAGCGGGAAGGUUAUCGAAGACAAAACACAUUUCUACCCAAGUUUAAAUGACCUGCUAUGCCCACAGAGCUUGAUCCAGAAGUGCACAGUAGAGACGGGGUUUCACCAUGUUAGCCAGGAUGGUCUCGAUCUCCUGACCUCGUGAUCUGCCCGCCUCAGCCUCCCAAAGUGCUGGGAUUACAGGAGUGAGCCACCGCUCCCGGCCCAGAACUUUUAAUAAAUAUAAAUACACAGGUAAUUUUAACACAUAUUCCUGAUGAAAUCAUUAUUAUCUGCAAUGCUUUCAUUCUGCUUUUUCUCUUAACAAUGGCAUAAACAUUUUUCAAGGUCAAUAAAUGUUUUUCAAAAUCGCA